AGGCUCUUCCAGGCCAGCAGAGCGGGCGGCAGGCGCAGGGACAGGAAAGCCGCGCGCAUCUUCUCCGGCGACAGCCCCGCGUCCCACAGGAUGGAGGCCGUGGCCCCCACCGCGUAGCCCCUCUGCAGCCCCUUCCUCGGCCAGGGUUUCCCGUUGAGCCAAAACUCGGCGAUGCCGGUGGCGGAUUCCCAGCUGGCGCAGACGUGCUCCCAGUCCCUGCGGCUCUCGGGGACACGGAAGAUGAAAUACUCCUUCUUGUCGUCGCCGCCGGCCUGGCCGCCCUCGGCGUUGAUGAUGGCGGUGUCGGCGUCCGGAGCGUCGUCCGAGCCUUUGGCCUCGUGGGUCAGCCCAUCCUCCCUCCAGGAGAUAUCUCCUGUUCAUGGCCAGUGAGUCCCAGGGCAUGACUGAUAAAAUUCCAUCAUCCCACUGGGAGAUGCUCCAGCCAGGGGAGGAGCCAAGCCUUUCCUACCAGAUAAAAACUGAGAUUUGGGACAGCAAGUUAUCCACCUUUCCACUGGAUUCCAGAGGAAAACCAGACCUUUCCACAUCAUCCCUGCACCUUCAGAGGAAACUGCACCUUCUCCAGGAGCACUGCUCCAGCUGAACCACAUCUGCCCCUGCAGGAGGAUGCAGCCACCAUUGAAUGGGACUGUGCCAACACCCUGACUGACAGACGGGUGUCAGCUUGGAUUCUGACUCUGGCAGGGUUUGGGAUUGUUCUUUGUAAUACUGUAUUUCUAUUUUAAUUUUCCUAGUACAGAACUGUUAUUCCUAAUUCCC
Oenanthe melanoleuca is the source of this 780-nucleotide long non-coding RNA. RefSeq lists it as uncharacterized. The record is from RefSeq and is a predicted model, not a curated record. NCBI's taxonomy places the organism in Eukaryota, Metazoa, Chordata, Aves, Passeriformes, Muscicapidae. The transcript has 4 exons.